RNAcentral lists this ribosomal RNA (498 nucleotides) under Anelosimus tosus. RNAcentral's name for it is "partial 16S ribosomal RNA". The stretch from base 105 to 404 matches the Rfam family "Bacterial large subunit ribosomal RNA", at positions 2074 to 2646 of the family's 2925-position model. Lineage: Eukaryota; Metazoa; Arthropoda; Arachnida; Araneae; Theridiidae. The record is from RNAcentral.
UUUGUUUUUUAAUUAAAAACUAGAAUGAAAGGUUAUACAUUCAAAUUUCUUUAUUAAUUUUUAAUAAAUAAUUUAUAUUAAAUAUAAAAAUAUAUUUUUAAAAAAAAAAGACGACAAGACCCUAUUAAAUUUUACUUAUAGUUUAGCUGGGGAAGCUUUUUAAUUAAAAUUUUUUAAAUUUAAUAAAUAAAAAUCUAAUAAAAUUAAAAUUUUAAUAAAUUACUAUAGGGAUAACAGCAUUAUAUUUUUUUAAAGUUCAUAUUAAAAAAAAAGAUUGUGACCUCGAUGUUGAAUUAUAUUUUCUAUAUUUAAUGCAAUAAUUAUAAAAGUAGAUCUGUUCGAUCUUUAAAAUAUUACAUGAUUUGAGUUCAAACCGGUGUAAACCAGGUUGGUUUCUAUCUUUUUUUAUAUUUUUCUAGUACGAAAGGACAAAAAAAUUUUUAUUUUAAUAAAUUAGCAAAUAAAUGCAUUAGAUUUAGAAUCUAAAUAUAUUUAAUA